RNAcentral lists this ribosomal RNA (1372 nucleotides) under uncultured bacterium. Its description in RNAcentral is "bacterial SSU rRNA". It matches the Rfam family "Bacterial small subunit ribosomal RNA", at positions 28 to 1381 of the family's 1533-position model. The record is from RNAcentral.
GAUGAACGCUGGCGGCGUGCCUAAUACAUGCAAGUCGAGCGAACAGACGAGGAGCUUGCUCCUUUGACGUUAGCGGCGGACGGGUGAGUAACACGUGGGUAACCUACCUAUAAGACUGGGAUAACUUCGGGAAACCGGAGCUAAUACCGGAUAAUAUUUCGAACCGCAUGGUUCGAUAGUGAAAGAUGGCCCUGCUAUCACUUAUAGAUGGACCUGCGCCGUAUUAGCUAGUUGGUAAGGUAACGGCUUACCAAGGCAACGAUACGUAGCCGACCUGAGAGGGUGAUCGGCCACACUGGAACUGAGACACGGUCCAGACUCCUACGGGAGGCAGCAGUAGGGAAUCUUCCGCAAUGGGCGAAAGCCUGACGGAGCAACGCCGCGCGAGUGAUGAAGGUCUUCGGAUCGUAAAACUCUGUUAUUAGGGAAGAACAAACGUGUAAGUAACUGUGCACGUCUUGACGGUACCUAAUCAGAAAGCCACGGCUAACUACGUGCCAGCAGCCGCGGUAAUACGUAGGUGGCAAGCGUUAUCCGGAAUUAUCGGGCGUAAAGCGCGCGUAGGCGGUUUUUUAAGUCUGAUGUGAAAGCCCACGGCUCAACCGUGGAGGGUCAUUGGAAACUGGAAAACUUGAGUGCAGAAGAGGAAAGUGGAAUUCCAUGUGUAGCGGUGAAAUGCGCAGAGAUAUGGAGGAACACCAGUGGCGAAGGCGACUUUCUGGUCUGUAACUGACGCUGAUGUGCGAAAGCGUGGGGAUCAAACAGGAUUAGAUACCCUGGUAGUCCACGCCGUAAACGAUGAGUGCUAAGUGUUAGGGGGUUUCCGCCCCUUAGUGCUGCAGCUAACGCAUUAAGCACUCCGCCUGGGGAGUACGACCGCAAGGUUGAAACUCAAAGGAAUUGACGGGGACCCGCACAAGCGGUGGAGCAUGUGGUUUAAUUCGAAGCAACGCGAAGAACCUUACCAAAUCUUGACAUCCUUUGACCCUUCUAGAGAUAGAAGUUUCCCCUUCGGGGGACAAAGUGACAGGUGGUGCAUGGUUGUCGUCAGCUCGUGUCGUGAGAUGUUGGGUUAAGUCCCGCAACGAGCGCAACCCUUAAGCUUAGUUGCCAUCAUUAAGUUGGGCACUCUAAGUUGACUGCCGGUGACAAACCGGAGGAAGGUGGGGAUGACGUCAAAUCAUCAUGCCCCUUAUGAUUUGGGCUACACACGUGCUACAAUGGACAAUACAAAGGGCAGCGAAACCGCGAGGUCAAGCAAAUCCCAUAAAGUUGUUCUCAGUUCGGAUUGUAGUCUGCAACUCGACUACAUGAAGCUGGAAUCGCUAGUAAUCGUAGAUCAGCAUGCUACGGUGAAUACGUUCCCGGGUCU